RNAcentral lists this non-coding RNA (135 nucleotides) under pig gut metagenome. RNAcentral's name for it is "glmS glucosamine-6-phosphate activated ribozyme". It matches the Rfam family "glmS glucosamine-6-phosphate activated ribozyme aptamer". Rfam says of the family: This entry contains a glucosamine-6-phosphate activated ribozyme that is found in the mRNA for GlmS. The record is from RNAcentral.
AAUACAAGCGCCGGAACUGAGUGCAGGCAGUUGACGAGGUGGAAGUCAUCGAAAAUUCGGCGGAUGCUUCCAGCCCCGCACAGGGAACCGUCCUAACAAACCCUCCGAGUGAUCGGAGAAACAAAGCAGGCGGAA